CAUAACACCGGUCCCCGUAUGAUCCCUGAAGGUAAGCGACGUCGACCUUGGUCUGUACCUAAAUAGGUGAUCGCUUGAGAAUACUUGGUGCUGUAAG
This is a non-coding RNA of Acanthosepion pharaonis, 97 nucleotides long. The record is from the annotation of a GenBank genome assembly. NCBI's taxonomy places the organism in Eukaryota, Metazoa, Mollusca, Cephalopoda, Sepiida, Sepiidae.